UCUUAAUAAAAAAGCAGCCGUUAAGAUUCAUUCUAACGGCUGCUUUUUUAAUGGAA
RNAcentral lists this microRNA precursor (56 nucleotides) under Desulfobacter postgatei 2ac9. RNAcentral describes it as "mir-181 microRNA precursor". Lineage: Bacteria; Pseudomonadati; Thermodesulfobacteriota; Desulfobacteria; Desulfobacterales; Desulfobacteraceae. The record is from RNAcentral.